GUGCGUAACGCGUAUACAACCUACCUUAUAGACGGGGAAUAGCCCAAGAGAAAUUUGGAUUAAUGCCCCAUAGUAUUAUCGAUUAGCACUUAAUUGAUGAUUAAACAUUUAUGGCUAUAAAGAUGGGUAUGCGUUCUAUUAGCUAGAUGGUAAGGUAACGGCUUACCAUGGCUACGAUAGAUAGGGGUCCUGAGAGGGAGAUCCCCCACACUGGUACUGAGACACGGACCAGACUCCUACGGGAGGCAGCAGUGAGGAAUAUUGGACAAUGGGCGCAGAGCCUGAUCCAGCCAUGCCGCGUGCAGGAAGACGGCCUAUGGGUUGUAAACUGCUUUUAUACAGGAAGAAACACUCCCUUGCGAGGGAGCUUGACCGGUACUGUACGAAUAAGGAUCGGCAUAACUACCGUGCCAGCAGCCGCGGUAAUACGGAGGAUCCAAGCGUUAUCCGGAAUCAUUGGGUUUCANAGGGUCCGUAGGCGGGAACACAUCCAGUCAGGCCGGUGAACAG
RNAcentral lists this ribosomal RNA (510 nucleotides) under Salegentibacter sp. UST050418-085. RNAcentral's name for it is "bacterial SSU rRNA". It matches the Rfam family "Bacterial small subunit ribosomal RNA", at positions 106 to 612 of the family's 1533-position model. The record is from RNAcentral. Lineage: Bacteria; Pseudomonadati; Bacteroidota; Flavobacteriia; Flavobacteriales; Flavobacteriaceae.